ACGCUGGCGGCGUGCCUAAUACAUGCAAGUAGAACGCUGAAGGAGGAGCUUGCUUCUCUGGAUGAGUUGCGAACGGGUGAGUAACGCGUAGGUAACCUGCCUGGUAGCGGGGGAUAACUAUUGGAAACGAUAGCUAAUACCGCAUAACAGUAGAUGUUGCAUGACAUUUGCUUAAAAGGUGCAAUUGCAUCACUACCAGAUGGACCUGCGUUGUAUUAGCUAGUUGGUGGGGUAACGGCUCACCAAGGCGACGAUACAUAGCCGACCUGAGAGGGUGAUCGGCCACACUGGGACUGAGACACGGCCCAGACUCCUACGGGAGGCAGCAGUAGGGAAUCUUCGGCAAUGGACGGAAGUCUGACCGAGCAACGCCGCGUGAGUGAAGAAGGUUUUCGGAUCGUAAAGCUCUGUUGUAAGAGAAGAACAGGUGUGAGAGUGGAAAGUUCACACUGUGACGGUAUCUUACCAGAAAGGGACGGCUAACUACGUGCCAGCAGCCGCGGUAAUACGUAGGUCCCGAGCGUUGUCCGGAUUUAUUGGGCGUAAAGCGAGCGCAGGCGGUUAGAUAAGUCUGAAGUUAAAGGCUGUGGCUUAACCAUAGUACGCUUUGGAAACUGUUUAACUUGAGUGCAAGAGGGGAGAGUGGAAUUCCAUGUGUAGCGGUGAAAUGCGUAGAUAUAUGGAGGAACACCGGUGGCGAAAGCGGCUCUCUGGCUUGUAACUGACGCUGAGGCUCGAAAGCGUGGGGAGCAAACAGGAUUAGAUACCCCUGGUAGUCCACGCCGUAAACGAUGAGUGCUAGGUGUUAGACCCUUUCCGGGGUUUAGUGCCGCAGCUAACGCAUUAAGCACUCCGCCUGGGGAGUACGACCGCAAGGUUGAAACUCAAAGGAAUUGAC
Molecule: ribosomal RNA, 898 nt
Filed under: uncultured bacterium
Lineage: Bacteria
Description: bacterial SSU rRNA
Rfam family: Bacterial small subunit ribosomal RNA
Source: RNAcentral